RNAcentral lists this ribosomal RNA (250 nucleotides) under uncultured bacterium. RNAcentral describes it as "partial 16S ribosomal RNA". It matches the Rfam family "Bacterial small subunit ribosomal RNA", at positions 808 to 1058 of the family's 1533-position model. The record is from RNAcentral.
GAUGAAUGCUAGGUGUUGGGGGUCAAACCUCGGUGCCGAAGUUAACACAUUAAGCAUUCCGCCUGGGGAGUACGCACGCAAGUGUGAAACUCAAAGGAAUUGACGGGGACCCGCACAAGCAGCGGAGCAUGUGGUUUAAUUCGAUGCAACGCGAAGAACCUUACCAGGGCUUGACAUGUGGGUGAAAGGUAUAGAGAUAUACCCCUCUCUUUAUGAGACAUCCAUACAGGUGGUGCAUGGCUGUCGUCAG